RNAcentral lists this ribosomal RNA (272 nucleotides) under Physarum bivalve. Its description in RNAcentral is "partial small subunit ribosomal RNA". It matches the Rfam family "Bacterial small subunit ribosomal RNA", at positions 591 to 867 of the family's 1533-position model. Lineage: Eukaryota; Evosea; Eumycetozoa; Physariida; Physaraceae. The record is from RNAcentral.
UACAGUAAAGACUGAGGAAACCCUCUUUAAUCUGUGUUUACUAAUUAUCUGAGUUUCAAAGGUGGUUUAUUGAAUUUUAGAAGGAAGGGUGAAAUUGUUGAUAUUGAAAGACAUUCGAUGGCGAAAGCAUUAACCAAUUUGGAUCUAACGUUAGGUACUAAAGUAUGGGGAUAAAUAGGAUUAGAGACCUAGUAGUCCAUACCUUAAACAAUGAGUGUCCAACAUCUUUUAGUAAAAAACUAUCUGGGGUUURAAGYUAACGCGMGAAACCC